UUAAAUUAUAAGAUAUUAACAUCGUUUAAUUACCCGAAACAGGUAGAGCUAAUUUAAGUUAGAGUUUUAGACCAUUCUUAUUAUAAUGUGGCAAAAUUAUAAAAUGAAUUUCAAUUAGGGGUGAAAGGCCUAUCAAUACCUGCAGAUAUCUGGAUAAGCCUUAAAAAUAUUUAGUAUUAUAAGUCAAAUAUAAAAUUUUAAGAUUUUAUAUCAAAAAAAUAUUGUAAAUAAAGUCAAAGUAAGUAAAGUAAUAUUUAGUUGCUUAAUUAAGAAAAAAAUCAGAUAACUAUUACAUUUAAGAUCAUGAGGCUUUACUUCAUUUAAUUUGGUAUAGAGUCGAUUUUGUUUAGAUUAGUAAUAAUAUUUAAACUACCUAAAAGGAACUCGGCAAAUUUAAAUCUCAACUGUUUAUCAAAAACAUAGCUAGCUGUUAUUAUAUCUAGUUCUUUCUGCCCGGUGGAUAGUUUUAACGGCCGCAGUACACUGACUGUGCAAAGGUAGCAUAAUAAUUUGACUUUUAAUUGAAGUCUAGUAUGAACGGGAACCUGGGAUAAGACUGUCUCUUAUUUAUGUUAUUAAAUUACUUUAGAAAGUGAAAAGACUUUCAUAUAUUAAAAGACGAGAAGACCCUAUGAAUUUUUAUUAAGAAGGAUUCCAUUCUUUCACAUUUUUGUUGGGGCAACAAAAUGACAACGAUUAAAAUUAUCAACCAUAAUAAACUCAUUUACAUACAAAGAUCAGUUGAUUAAAGAGGAUAUACCGAAUGUUAUUAAUAAAAGAUAAAUUACUAUAGGGAUAACAGCAUAAUUUUACAAACUAGAUUGUGACCUCGAUGUUGGAUUAGGAAACAAUUGAGGUAGCACUUUAAUUGGUUAGUUCUGUUCGAACUUUACUUCCU
This 898-nucleotide ribosomal RNA is filed under the name Acrotoma vespa. Its description in RNAcentral is "partial 16S ribosomal RNA". Lineage: Eukaryota; Metazoa; Mollusca; Gastropoda; Stylommatophora; Clausiliidae. The record is from RNAcentral.